This 530-nucleotide ribosomal RNA is filed under the name uncultured bacterium. RNAcentral describes it as "bacterial SSU rRNA". It matches the Rfam family "Bacterial small subunit ribosomal RNA", at positions 777 to 1315 of the family's 1533-position model. The record is from RNAcentral.
AAUAGAUACCCUGGUAGUCCACGCCGUAAACGAUGCUAACUCGUUUUUGGGCCUUUGGGUUCAGAGACUAAGCGAAAGUGAUAAGUUAGCCACCUGGGGAGUACGUUCGCAAGAAUGAAACUCAAAGGAAUUGACGGGGGCCCGCACAAGCGGUGGAUUAUGUGGUUUAAUUCGAUGAUACGCGAGGAACCUUACCAAGGCUUAAAUGGGAAAUGACAGGCUUAGAAAUAGGCUUUUCUUCGGACAUUUUUCAAGGUGCUGCAUGGUUGUCGUCAGCUCGUGCCGUGAGGUGUUAGGUUAAGUCCUGCAACGAGCGCAACCCCUGUCACUAGUUGCCAUCAUUAAGUUGGGGACUCUAGUGAGACUGCCUACGCAAGUAGAGAGGAAGGUGGGGAUGACGUCAAAUCAUCACGGCCCUUACGCCUUGGGCCACACACGUAAUACAAUGGCCAGUACAGAGGGCAGCUACACAGCGAUGUGAUGCAAAUCUCGAAAGCUGGUCUCAGUUCGGAUUGGAGUCUGCAACUCGA